GACGAACGCUGGCGGCGUGCUUAACACAUGCAAGUCGAACGAAGUGGCGAACGGGUGAGUAAUACGUGAGUAACCUGCCCUCCUUUUUGGGAUAAGCCUUGGAAACGGGGUCUAAUACCGGAUAAAGGGGGAUGGGCUCGCGGCCUAUCAGCUUGUUGGUGGGGUGAUGGCCUACCAAGGCGGGGACGGGUAGCCGGCCUGGGAGGGUGACCGGCAACAUUGGGAUUGGGAUACGGCCCAGACUCCUACGGGAGGCAGCAGUGGUGGAUGUUGCACAAUGGGCGCAAGCCUGAUGCAGCGACGCCGCGUGAGGGAUGAAGGCUUUCGGGUUGGAAACCUCUUUCGGUACAGAACGGGUAUGUGCAGAAGAAGCGCCGGCUAACUACGUGCCAGCAGCCGCGGUAAUAC
This 408-nucleotide ribosomal RNA is filed under the name uncultured bacterium. RNAcentral describes it as "partial 16S ribosomal RNA". It matches the Rfam family "Bacterial small subunit ribosomal RNA", at positions 28 to 526 of the family's 1533-position model. The record is from RNAcentral.